GUUAAGCAUAAUAGCGAAUGCGCCGCUCAGGCUACAGGUUGAGGUUGGUGGCGAGCACCGGACAAACCUGCAUCCGCGCGCGAGCGAGCGUGACGCCGCAGCUCCGUUGCCAGCGAGCCGCGAUGGCAACUGGUAGGCGGAGCAGCGGAGAGCGGCCAAGUCAGCGUAGGGCGAAGACUACCCGACUUGGCUACCGGCCGCGCCGUCGGCGUACAGCAGUUGAGCAGGGAGCGGUGACCGCACGCGCUCGUAGCAGCAAGUGUUCGUCGUCGUUGCACGGCAGCAGCAGCAGCAGCAGUCGACGACGACGACGACGAAACCGUUCGCCUUGCUGCGGCGGCGGCCGCCACCGCUCGACCGACGACGGCGGCAAACGUUGCUGACACACUGCUGCCGGUGAGGCGAGCUGCCGGUAGCGGCGUCUUUGCCGUUCGUCAACUAGCGGUUCGCCGCGUGGCUCCACCCGUACGUCUCCUCGAUGUU
Molecule: unclassified non-coding RNA, 483 nt
Filed under: Trichuris trichiura (human whipworm)
Lineage: Eukaryota; Metazoa; Nematoda; Enoplea; Trichinellida; Trichuridae
Description: sequence contains ITS2
Source: RNAcentral